Long non-coding RNA from Gasterosteus aculeatus aculeatus (three-spined stickleback), 439 nucleotides. Lineage: Eukaryota; Metazoa; Chordata; Actinopteri; Perciformes; Gasterosteidae. The record is from Ensembl.
AUGCAUGAUGGGAAACGCAAUGAGCUGCUUGUCAGGGGAGAGACAAUUCACAGGAGAGGGCCUAUGAAAGCUAUAUACAUUCCCAAUUUACUCCCAUCUCUGCGGUUUUUAAGCUCAUCAAAAUGGCUGGAUGAACUAUUCAACAGAAGAUGCGGUGACGUGAAAAUGCUCAGCAAGGUUCAGUUAAGAAACUCACACAAGCUGACUGGUUAAGACACCUUCCUUUCUCGGUCGGGUCUGGCGGCUGAUGUGAGAGCUUCUACAGAUCGCAGCCUCAGUGGGAAUUGGACUUCAUGACGGGUAAACAAAGCCUCUCUGAAGCUUCUCAUCCUUGACCUCUUGAUCCCAGACAAAACCAGUGAUUCUGGUCCACCUGAGACAUUUCUCUGUGAUAUUUAGUGUCUUUGGUAAUAAUACUAACAUGACUGGUACUUUUUUC